GGGGAUGACAGGAUUCGAUAGACGGAUCCGUUGUCUAUAUGUGCAUACCGAGCCCGCCUCUACUCGUUAAACUAGGCACCCAUUACGUGCAAACGUAUUAAGUCGAGCUAAGAACGCCCUUGCUAACGCAUUCAGCGUUCGUGGGCUCGCAUCUGCCAUUGCUUAAAUGCAAUAGCCAUCAGUCUCUCGAUACUCGAUAGAGAAUCACUGGUGUCAACUUGUCNNNNNNNNNNNNNNNNNNNNCGCCUGUGGGUCCCUUCUGAACUCAUAAUUUCAGGCAACCGACAUGUCUUUUUGCCAUUCUUUUUGAGACAUGUCGCAGAUUAAGAAUGGCUAUGUAUGUAGUACAUGUAUAGGUAACCCGCUCUAGACCCGAGUUCAAUUCUCGGCAUCUCCACCG
Molecule: transfer-messenger RNA, 400 nt
Filed under: Candidatus Magasanikbacteria bacterium CG10_big_fil_rev_8_21_14_0_10_43_6
Lineage: Bacteria; Candidatus Magasanikiibacteriota
Rfam family: transfer-messenger RNA
About the family: Bacterial tmRNA, also known as 10Sa RNA or SsrA, is named for its dual tRNA and mRNA-like properties.
Source: RNAcentral